CGUAAGGCGCCGGAUGAGUCAUUAAAAAUUAAACAUCAUCCGAUCCCUAGUCGGCAUAGUUUAUGGUUAAGACUACGACGGUAUCUGAUCGUCUUCGAUCCCCUAACUUUCGUUCUUGAUUAAUGAAAACAUCCUUGGCAAAUGCUUUCGCAGUAGUUAGUCUUCAAUAAAUCCAAGAAUUUCACCUCUGACAAUUGAAUACUAAUGCCCCCAACUAUCCCUAUUAAUCAUUACGUCGAUCCUAGAAACCAACAAAAUAAGAUCAAACGUCCUAUUUCAUUAUUCCAUGCUAAUGUAUUCAAGCUUAAGCCUGCUUUAAACACUCUAAUUUUUUCACAGUAACAGUCCUGAUUCCCCAC
RNAcentral lists this unclassified non-coding RNA (359 nucleotides) under uncultured Glomerales. RNAcentral's name for it is "sequence contains 18S rRNA gene". The record is from RNAcentral. Lineage: Eukaryota; Fungi; Glomeromycota; Glomeromycetes; Glomerales; Glomeraceae.